GCCCAGAUGGUGGAAUCGGUAGACACAAGGGAUUUAAAAUCCCUCGGCGUUCGCGCUGUGCGGGUUCAAGUCCCGCUCUGGGUACCA
This 87-nucleotide transfer RNA is filed under the name Dickeya dianthicola. RNAcentral's name for it is "tRNA-Leu". It matches the Rfam family "tRNA". Rfam says of the family: Transfer RNA (tRNA) molecules are approximately 80 nucleotides in length. Lineage: Bacteria; Pseudomonadati; Pseudomonadota; Gammaproteobacteria; Enterobacterales; Pectobacteriaceae. The record is from RNAcentral.